This 147-nucleotide small RNA is filed under the name Chrysemys picta bellii (western painted turtle). RNAcentral describes it as "TUC338 (ENSCPBG00000022161.1)". The record is from RNAcentral. Lineage: Eukaryota; Metazoa; Chordata; Testudines; Emydidae.
UUGCCAGUCCUGGAGACUGAAGGCCUCUUUCUAGCUACAGAACAGGUACAGCAUGGGCAGCAGCAGUGCAAGCUUCUCCCCUAGAGGGAUCAUGUUAAGGGGGUGAAAAAAUAGCCCAGUCUCCACUCCAUACUCUCCUUGGCUCUU